Molecule: ribosomal RNA, 3420 nt
Filed under: Triticum aestivum (bread wheat)
Lineage: Eukaryota; Viridiplantae; Streptophyta; Magnoliopsida; Poales; Poaceae
Description: partial small subunit ribosomal RNA
Source: RNAcentral
AUGGCGGACCAUGCUCCGACCAUGAUGCUGGCGACCAUCGACUCCGUGCAGGAGCGCACGGAGACUCAGGUCAGCCACACCCCGACAACAAAGUGUUCGGGGUCCACCGUGUUGUCGGGAGAUGGCUCCCUGACAACGGCAUGUGCGUGCGGCUACGUCUUCCUCAACGAGGAGAGAGCCGUGACCACACCCACGCUUGCAGGCGGCAAGCAAAGUGAGGGUUGGUUCCUCGACACCGGCGCCACGAACCACAUGACUGGUUCGAUCGAUGCGUUCGCGGAGCUGGACCGCUCAAUCACCGAGAAGGUGCGGUUCGCGGACGGAUCCGUGGUGGAGAUCCACGGGCGCGGGACCGUCGUAUUCGCCGACAAAGGGGGUGAUCACAGAGCGUUCACGGACGUCUACUUCAUCCCGGCGCUCACGAGCAGCGUUGUGAGUGUUGGACAACUCGACGAGGGCUGGUUCGACAUCGGCAUCCGGCGCGGUGUUCUCACCGUGCACGACCAGCAGAAGAGGCUGCUCAUCGAGGUUACCCGCUCGCCGAACCGCCUCUACAAAUUCUUCUUUCAACCCGUGCAUCCUGUGUGCCUUGCCGUGGGCCAUGUAUCCGACGCGUGGCGUUGGCAUGCCAGGCUAGGACACCAGCACUUCGAUGGGUUGCGAAAGAUGGCGCGAGGCAACCUCGUUCGUGGGCUACCUCACAUCGAGCACGCCGACAAGCUGUGUGAUGCAUGUCUUGCGGGGAAGCAGCGGCGUCUGCCGUUUCCCGAGAAGGCACGCUAUCGGGCGCAGAAACCCCUGGAGCUGGUUCACGGGGACCUCUGCGGCCCAAUCACCCCGGCAACGCCAGGAGGGCGUCGCUACAUCCUGCUGCUCGUCGACGACUACAGCAGGUUCAUGUGGGUGCUGCUCCUCGCCUCCAAGGAUGAGGCGGAGCGAGCCAUCGUCAAGCAGCAAGCGGCAGCAGAGGUCGAGUGUGGCCACAAGCUGCGCGUGCUGCGCACGGACCGUGGCGGUGAGUUCACGUCGACCACGUUCUACAAGCACUGCGACGAGAAAGGGGUGCAACGUCACCUCACAGCCCCUUACUCACCGCAGCAAAAUGGCGUCGUCGAGCGGAGGAACCAGACAGUGCUUGGGAUGGCACGCUGCAUGCUCAAGGCAAAGCAGGUGCCGAGCACGUAUUGGGGGGAGGCCGUGCUCACGGCCGUCUUCAUCCUCAACCGCUCCUUCACAAGGAGCGUCGACGAAAAGACGCCUUACGAGGCGUGGUAUGGGAGGAAGCCCGAUGCACGCUUCCUUCGUACCUUUGGCUGCGUCGGGCACGUCAAGACGACGCGCCCACAGCUAAAGAAGCUCGACGACAGGAGCACCCCAAUGGUGUUCAUGGGCUACGAGACGGGCUCUAAGGCGUACAAGAUGUACGACCCCGUCUCAAAGCGCGUACAUGUCUCUCGCGACAUCAUCUUCGACGAAGACGCGCGAUGGACAUGGGAGGCGUCGGGGGAGGCCCCGGCAAGCAGCUCCUUCACCGUGGAGUACCUGAUGUACUCUACAACCCCGAGAAGCAAGACCUCGGGAAUUGCCACGCCGGGAAGCCCGGGAGGUGUGGAUCCGGGAACCGCAACCCCGAGAACACCGUCCCCGGGUAUGGUGUCCCCAGACACCCCGACAUCAAGCAAGGUGGUUCCCGGGAGGCUGUUCGCGACCCCGCCAACAGCAAGGUCGGAGUUGUUCGACGCCGACGACAGUGUUGGCGCCCCCCACAGGUUUCGGCGCAUGGGGGAUCUCCUCGACGAGGCUGUGGCAACACCGCAACAGCCCGAGGAAGAGGAUGUUGAUGAUGACGACGUCUUGCAUCUGAUGGCCGGCGAGGAGCCGACCACAUUCGCGGAGGCCGAGCAAGAGGAUUGCUGGCGCCACGCGAUGUUGGUCGAGCUGGCGUCGAUCAACGACAACGCCACUUGGACACUCACCACACUGCCUGCUGGGCACCGAGCCAUCGGGCUCAAGUGGGUGUUCAAGGUGAAGAAGGAUGAGCAUGGUGCCAUUGUCAAGCACAAGGCGCGCCUCGUCGCAAAGGGCUACGUGCAGCGUGAGGGAGUGGACUUCGAGGAAGUCUUCGCUCCGGUGGCAAGGCUGGAGUCGGUGCGGCUCAUCCUUGCCCUGGCCGCUCACCGCGGGUGGGAGGUACACCACAUGGACGUCAAGUCGGCGUUUCUCAACGGCGACCUUAACGAGGAGGUGUACGUCUCCCAACCACCCGGGUUCGUUGCCAAGGGCCACGAGCAGGGCGUGUAUCGACUACACAAGGCCCUGUAUGGUCUCCGGCAAGCCCCAAGGGCAUGGAACGCCAAGCUCGAUGCAAGCCUCGCAUCCCUUGGGUUCUCACGCAGCGCUUCUGAGCAUGGUGUGUACUCGCGUGGCACCGCGAACACGCUGCUCAUCGUCGGCAUCUACGUCGACGACUUGGUCAUUACCGGGGCAGAGCCUAAAGAGGUUCAACGCUUCAAGGGAGAGAUGCAUCGUCUCUUCAGCAUGAGCGACCUUGGGCUGCUCCGUUACUACCUCGGGCUGGAGGUGAACCAGGAGGGUGGUCGCAUCACGAUCACGCAGACGGCCUACGCCACCAAGAUGCUCGAGCGAGCAGGCAUGAAAGACUGUCAUGCCGUGCACGCUCCAAUGGAGGCACGGCUGAAGCUCAGCAAGGAGAGCUCCGAGAAGGCGGUGGAUGCUACACUCUACCGUAGCAUCAUCGGGAGUCUCAGGUACCUCGUGCACACCCGACCGGACAUCACGUUCGUUGUCGGGUACCUGAGUAGGUUCAUGGAAGCCCCGGCAAGCGAUCACCUCGCUGCUGUCAAGCACCUGCUCCGGUACAUCGCGGGUACGCUCACGCAUGGAUGCGUGUAUCAUCGUGGCGACGGCGAAAGCUUGGUCGGAUACAGCGACUCUGACCACGCUGGUGACGUGGACUCCCGGAAGAGCACCUCGGGCAUACUAUUCCUUCUCGGGAAUAGUCCCGUCAGCUGGCAAUCGGUGAGGCAGAAGGUUGUCGUCGUAUCUUCGUGCGAGGCGGAGUACAUCGCGGCAGCUACAGCAGCCUGUCAAGGCAUUUGGCUUGCUUGCCUUAUCGGCGAGAUGCUGAAUCAGGACACCGCCCCUGCCCUCAUCUUCGUCGACAACAAGUCGGCGAUUUCCCUCUGUAAGAAUCCAGUGCUUCACGACCGCAGCAAACACAUCGAUCUCCGCUAUCACUUCAUACGUGACUGCGUCGAGAAAGGCUCGGUGAUCGUGGAGUUCAUCAGGACUGGUGAACAGAAGGCGGACAUCCUGACCAAGUCACUUGGUCGUGUCCGGUUCCAGGAGCUGCGCGACAAGGUCGGGAUCAUCGACACCAAGCUCCUUCUACAAGGUUGA